AAACGCGUCUGACGUGCCGGGUGCUUGGGGAAGUGUCGGCUUGUUCGGAGCCAUUUGUUAUUUAGUUUUAUUUUUUUUGUGAAACGAAAGUGCUCCGGGAUGAAUACAUCUGUUUCCGCCAGCCCCAAUAUGGCUGCGCCCUGGUGUCAGAGAAGCUGCGACUGUACUCUAGAAAAGAUCCUGCACCAUGAAAGUUAUCACAGAUAGUGUUAUAAGGCACCGGACAGACAGCAUCUCCAUCAUCAUCUGGGACAAACAGGAAAAGAAGCAGCCGGCUCUGUGUGUGUGAUCACCUAUAUACUAUGUAUUUUGGGGGAGUGCACACAUCUAGUCUAGGGGAGGGAACGUUCUCAUUCAUGAUGAGUCACUGAUCGGUUCAUAUGCAAACAAGGUUCAGCCUUGAUGGACAAAUUACAGGAGAUAGCCACUGGUCAGGCAUGCUGUCUUCCAGGAAAUCCAUUGUUCUAAUAAGAGUGACUUUAGCUUUCAUACAUUUAAUCAUAUCUACUUGUUGCAGUGAGCUACAACUUAAUAACAGGCAUCAAGUUGAUAUACACAUUAAUCUGGUUGCUUUAAUACCAAAUACGACAUGUCUAUCUUGUUUCGUUCCAAUAAUACACAUACAUGAUGUUACUCCAUUAAAUACAUUUAAAACAUUA
This is a long non-coding RNA of Pseudophryne corroboree (corroboree frog), 659 nucleotides long. RefSeq lists it as uncharacterized. NCBI's taxonomy places the organism in Eukaryota, Metazoa, Chordata, Amphibia, Anura, Myobatrachidae. The transcript has 3 exons. The record is from RefSeq and is a predicted model, not a curated record.